This 12188-nucleotide long non-coding RNA is filed under the name Mytilus galloprovincialis (Mediterranean mussel). Lineage: Eukaryota; Metazoa; Mollusca; Bivalvia; Mytilida; Mytilidae. The record is from RNAcentral.
GGGUUCCUACUUUAUGUAUGUUUUUUUUUUGUACUGUUAUUUGUCAUGACUUAUAUUACAGUCGCUUGUUUAUCGUCUCCUUCCGAUUAAAUGUCCAUAUUUUCCAUUAAUACUUUACCUGUGUAAAACACACUACACCAGGUAUUUUUAUGUAUUUUUUUUUAAUUUAAAACUCCAUUCAGUUUGAAAUAUUAUCGUUUAGUGUAAAUCGACUAAUUGAUUUGUGACACUUCCGUUGUAAAAGAUAUAAGGCGUACAAAGAAGGAUUGAACGUGAGUUGUCUUUUACUUUUCAUUCACAUAUUGGAACAUUUCCAUAGAAUUUGGGUUAUAAUAUCUAUGUGGUUCUAAAAAUUAAAUAGACGCCUUGAGGUACUAGUACAACCCUCCGUAUGUUACCGUAUGUCUUACGGCUAAUUCAGCUAUAGUAGACGCAUGCGAAAGCCUAAUAAAGAUUAUAAUAAAAAGGUAUAAUCAAUAUGUGGAACAUCCAUUUAUUAUGGAGCUAUAGUAAAUAGAAAAAAGUUAGUUUUUGAUGGUAGUCAGCGUAUUAGCUUUCUUUAUUUUAUAUAUAAUUUCUUUCUAAACAAUAGAAGUAUACACAAAAAAAUCAAAACAAUCCUCGUGAUGCAUAUGGAAAUGAAUACACAGAUAUUUUAGAUAAGAAACUAUCAAUUUUCUUGUUUUACACUUAAAUUGUACUCGAUAAUUAUCCUGUUUUGCUUUUUUGUGUGUAGCACUCAUUGAUACGAAGGGUAUACCUCUAUAUUUAUACUUUAAUACAAUUAGAAUUUAAAUAGUCUGUUUUACGCAUAUGUAUGACCUUUAACGAUAGUUUUUCUUAAAUUUUAAAGGGAAAUAACAAAUUGAUUUACCGUUGAUACACAUUUACCUGACUGAUUUACUCAACUACACAUAGAUAUUGAUGUCCCACGCGUAUAUCGAAAAUGUGAAAAUAGCAUAGAAUAUAGAAUACAUCAUAUUAUUCUGUACGCCUACAUUGCAUAUUUGUUUUAACAUGAGUAAUUUAUUAUGAUAAAUAACCCACUUUUUUUAUUAUUGUUAUCACAAUAUCAAAGUGGGUAAGGUUGUCCUGAAAGGAAAUGCUAUGAGCUAAACGAUUAUGUCUUGAUAAUAUGCUGGUGUUGAGAUAAAAAUAUCCUUGAUCUGUGCACCUAUGCUCUGAUUCUGUGCUCUUUAUGGUUAAGUUAAAAGUGGUAAAUACUAAUAAUUCUUGAUGCAGACUUAUUGUGUAAUUGAUUUAAGUUAAAUUGCAAAAUGCGUAUUUAUUAAAAUGAAAAGAAAAUAAAUAUCAUGAAUACAUGGAAUUGUGAUGUAAUGUUUAAAGGGAUGCCCGUACGAUUUAUUAAACAAAAAUUAUUAUGUAAGAAAAAAGCAAAAAAUCAAUGCAACAUUAUGGCCUGGAUCUUGUUUUUCUUGCAAAAUGGCUUAAUUCUUAUUUUUUCUCUCCCAACCACAUGAAUUUCUUAGUCAAUUUUUUGUGCGUAAGCCAUGCGUGUUUUCAACAGCAAACACAUCAGAUUAAUUUGUAGCAAUGUAUUGAUAAACGAAGGAACGACCCUCAGUUUUGUUUGAGAAAAAAGGGAAAACCGAAAACAUAUUCAAAUAGAUUCUAAUGUCAUUGAUCUUCUGCUGCAGUUGAUACUCUGCAAAAUGUGAAAAGAUUUAGUUUGUAACUCGCCUGAUUAAAAUAUCAAUUGAGCUAUAGUAUUCAUUCGUCGUCGUCCGUCGUCCUUAACUUUAAAACAAAAUCUUCUCUGUAACUACCAGUCCAAAUGUGACUAAACUACCUGAAUGUUCCUUUAGCAGUCGUUAUUUAAGUUACAUUGUAUAAGGGGGUUAUUAUCAUGGCUGCUGUUGGUAAAAUAGAACAUAUGGAUAAAACUAUAUAUCUCAAAUAUAAAACCAGCUAGAACAAAACUGAUAUUUUAGAAAUAAUCAGCAUAUCAAGGUGUAUAUACUUUUCAAUUAUCAUAAAGAAAUUACGUAACUCGUUUUAGAGUUAUUCCUUCGGAAUGCCAAUUCUUGGGAAUUUUAUUUAUUUUGGUUUUCAUCCGAAAAGUGUUUAUAGAUAGCGAGAACUGUAAAUAAGUGUCAGUGAAAUAAGAUGCACAAUAGGCAUUCAACAGAUAACAAAAAAUUGCAAACAAGCUCCAAAAAAUAGGUUAAUACAGCUGAAAUCAUCAGUCGAUUAUUUGUACCCUUUUUGUAUUCUGACUAUAUAAUCGUAUAUUCUACAUGUUCUAUAAAGAAAAAGAGAGGCGAAGGAUAUCAAAGAGACAUUCAAACUAACAAAAAGUCGGAAAUAAACUACCUGAGCAACUACAAAAACUGGGGAUGAUCGGAGGUGCUCUGGGAGAGUAAGCAGGUACUUCUCCACAUGUUGUAUCCGUCGUGUUGCUCAUGUUAGUACAAACCUGGUAAUAAAUUUAAUUUGGUGGUUCACACUCGGGGGUAAAGGGGACGGGAUUAUAGUUACGACAAUUCCGUAAAAAGAUUUUCUGUUCGUAACAUAUUCUACAUAUUUACCUAUUAGUAUAUCGAUUUAACACCUGGAUCGCUGUUGACGCGAUAUAAACCAGUUUGCAUCUCUUAUCUAUAUCACGAGUUUAUCAAAACAAUCCAUUUGAUAUAUCAGAUAUUAUUUUAUUCCAAAAUCAUCAAUUUGGUCUGUUUAUUAGUGAUUCUACAUUAAAAUUUGUUGGCAUAUACAGUGAAAAUGUUAUUUUAGAAUCCGCACGUUAUAGGUGUCAUACCACCAAUUACUCCCUCAAAUUUAGAACGGAUAUGAAAGUAGGCCUACUCGGACAAAAAAUAGUGCAUUUGAUGUCAUUGUUCACCUAAACUAACCAACAAAUGUGCAGAAAUGAAAACUUUGUUGAAAGAGAAAUAUAUUAAGACCAUUUUGAGCCAAAUUUUACCUGUCUAGGAGUUUGCAUUUAAAAUUGAGGAUUAAUGCGCUCCCUGGUAUACUAAUUUAAGAUUUUCAGAAAACCAUGGGUUAUUUUUAGUGGUACCUCUUUUCGGGAGCUUUCUUCUUUCUUAUAUGAUUUUGAAUGUAUGUUGAAAAUUGGCAUGCAGAAAGGUGACAUCUGUACAAUUCAGGAUAUACAUAGUUUCUAUGAAGUUAGAUUUAAGGCAAAAUAUUUAGAAAGCUGUGAAAAUUGCAAAUUUAGGUUGAACAGAUAGGGACUUUAAUUGGUGGUAUGACACCUUUAAGCGAAAUGCGGUGAAACAUCAAAUUCAGAAAACAAUUGAAUUUUUUUGUCUUAACUGAUAAUUUGAAAUAAUAGUAGCAACAUUUCAAUCUUUUUGGGUGCAAAAUGUCACAUAUUGCAAAUUUAGAACCUAAAACCUGAGUUUGUGCUAUUUUUAGCUUUUCUCACCCUGACAAUAUGCUUUUUACUUGAAAAAAAUGUCCUAAAUUGUUAUAAAUGCACAGAAAGUUGUUUCUGUGGUGCUGAACAUUAAAACAUAGGUUGUUUACUACCCCAAACAAAUUUUGUCAUGCAGAUUUAAUGAAAUUAUUUGAUUUUUACCCCUUAUAUCAUUGCGUCAUACUAUGUACUUGGCAGAUAGCAUAGCCUAAUGUAAACACUGCAGAAACUCACAAAAGUACCAUUUAUUAUUCCAAAUGAAAUUUUUAUAUCUUAAAUUUUAUUAACUGAUGUAAAUAAAAACAGUUAAAUGACCAUGACUGCACUUUUGAUCAAUUUGUAGUACUUUACUGACACCAGAUGAAAAAAAGGGGGGUCAAUAUUCCUUGACACUUCAAUACCUUGGAUUUUUUUACUAAAUUCAUUGCAAAAAUUGUUGAAAGUCUUUAAAGAAGUAGAACAAACAAGGAAAAAUCAGCAAAAACUGAUCUUGAUAUUGAAAGUUUAUGUUCCUGUAGCCCAAAAUGAAAUUUUCAAGUAUUUUCUAUCAAAGUCAUACAUUACAGUCAGUUUAAAUUGAGCUGUGAAAUUUUAAAUUAUAAGUCGCAUUAAUGCUCAGAUAGGCUGUUUUUAACUACAAAUUGACUAAGGAUUAAGAAUAAAGCAAAAUAAAAAGAUUUCUAAUCAACUUUUUUGUCUCUUUUAGGUGUCAUACCACCAAUUACUCCCUCAAAUUUAGAACGUAUGUGAAAGUAGGCCUACUCGGACAAAAAAAGUGCAUUUGAUGUCAUUGUUCACCUAAACUAACCAACAAAUUUGCAGAAAUGAAAGUUUUGUUGAAAGAGAAAUAUAUUAAGACCAUUUUGAGCCAAAAUUUUACCUGUCUAUGAGUUUUGCAUUUAAAAAUUGAGGAUUAAUGCGCUCCAUGGUAUACUAAUUUAAGAUUUUCCAGAAAACCAGGGGUUAUUUUUAGUGGUACCUCCUUUCGGGAGCUCUCUUCUUUCUUAUAUGAUUUUGAAUGUAUGUUGAAAAUUGGCAUGCAGAAAGGUGACACCUGUACAAUUCAGGAUAUACCUAGUUUCUAUGAAGUUAAACUUAAGGUAAAAUAUUUAGAAAGCUGUGAAAAUUGCAAAAUUUGGUUGAACAGAUAGGGACUUUAAUUGGUGGUAUGACACCUUUAAGCGAAAAAUGCGGUGAAACAUCAAAAUCAGAAACAAUUGUUUUUUUUGUCUUAACUGAUCAUUUGAAAUAAUAGUAGCCACAUUUCAAUCUUUUUGGGGGCAAAAUGUCACAUAUUGCAAAUUUAGAGCCUAAAACUUGAGUUUUGUUGCUAUUUUUAGCUUUUCCCCCCCUGACAAUAUGCUUUUAUAUAAAAAAUGUCCUAAAUAAUGUUAUAAAUGCACAGAAAGUUAUUCUGUGGUGUUAAACAUUGAAACAUAAGUUGUUUACUACCCCAAACAAAAUUUUGUCAUGCAGAUUUAAUGAAAUUAUUUGAUUUUUACCCCUUAUAGCAUUGCGUCAUACUAUGUACUUGGCAGAUAGCAUAGCCUAAUGUAAGCACUGCAGAAACUCACAAAAGCACCAUUUAUUAUUCCAAAUGAAAUUUUUAUAUCUUAAAUUUUAUUAACUGAUGUAAAUAAACACAGUUAAAUGACCAUGACUGCACUUUUGAUCAAUUUGUAGUACUUUACUGACACCAGAUGAAAAAAGGGGGGUCAAUAUUCCUUGACACUUCAAUACCUUGGAUUUUUUUUACUAAAUUCAUUGCAAAAAUUGUUGAAAGUCUUUAAAGAAGUAGAACAAACAAGAAAAAUCAGCAAAAAUGAUCUUGAUAUUGAAAGUUUAUGUUCUGUAGCCCAAAAUGAAAUUUUCAAGUAUUUUCUAUCAAAGUCAUACAUUACAGUCAGUUUAAAUUGAGCUGUGAAAUUUUUAAUUAUAAGUCGCAUUAAUGCUCAGAUAGGCUGUUUUUAAACUACCAAAUUGACUAAGGAUUAAGAAUAAAGCAAAAUAAAGAUUUCUAAUCAACUUUUUUGUCUCUUUAGGUGUCAUACACCAAUUACUCCCUCAAAUUUAGAACGUAUGUGAAAGUAGGCCUACUCGGACAAAAAAGUGCAUUUGAUGUCAUUGUUCACCUAAACUAACCAACAAAUUUGCAGAAAUGAAAACUUUUGUUGAAAGAGAAAUAUAUUAAGACCAUUUUGAGCCAAAUUUUACCUGUCUAUGAGUUUGCAUUUAAAAUUGAGGAUUAAUGCGCUCCCUGGUAUACUAAUUUAAGAUUUCCAGAAAACCAGGGGUUAUUUUUAGUGGUACCUCCUUUCGGGAGCUCUCUUCUUUCUUAUAUGAUUUUGAAUGUAUGUUGAAAAUUGGCAUGCAGAAAGGUGACACCUGUACAAUUCAGGAUAUACCUAGUUUCUAUGAAGUUAAACUUAAGGUAAAAUAUUUAGAAAGCUGUGAAAAUUGCAAAAUUUGGUUGAACAGAUAGGGACUUUUAAUUGGUGGUAUGACACCUUUAAGCGAAAUGCGGUGAAACAUCAAAUUCAGAAAACAAUUGAAUUUUUUUGUCUUAACUGAUAAUUUGAAAUAAUAGUAGCAACAUUUCAAUCUUUUUGGGUGCAAAAUGUCACAUAUUGCAAAUUUAGAACCUAAAACUUGAGUUUGUGCUAUUUUUAGCUUUUCUCACCCUGACAAUAUGCUUUUUACUUGAAAAAAAUGUCCUAAAUUGUUAUAAAUGCACAGAAAGUUAUUCUGUGGUGUUAAACAUUGAAACAUAAGUUGUUUACUACCCCAAACAAAUUUUGUCAUGCAGAUUUAAUGAAAUUAUUUGAUUUUUACCCCUUAUAUCAUUGCGUCAUACUAUGUACUUGGCAGAUAGCCUAGCCUAGCCUAAACACUGCAGAAGCUCACAAAAAUACCAUUUAUUAUUCCAAAUGAAAUUUUUAUAUCUUAAAUUUUAUUAACUGAUGUAAAUAAAAACAGUUAAAUGACCAUGACUGCACUUUUGAUCAAUUUGUAGUACUUUACUGACACCAGAUGAAAAAAAAGGGGGGUCAAUAUUCCUUGACACUUCAAUACAUUGGAUUUUUUACUAAAUUCAUUGCAAAAAUUGUUGAAAGUCUUUAAAGUAGUAGACCAACAAGGAAAUAUCAGCAAAAACUGAUCUUGAUAUUGAAAGUUUAUGUUCCUGUAGUCCAAAAUGAAAUUUUCAAGUAUUUUCUGUCAAAGUCAUACAUUACAGUCAGUUUAAAUUGAGCUAUGAAAUUUUAAAUAUAAGUCGCAUUAUACUCAGAAAGGUUGUUUUAACUACCAAUUGACUAAGGAUUAAGAAUAAAGCAAAACAAAAGAUUUCUACUCAACUUUUUGUCUCUUUAUGUGUCAUACUACCAAUUACUCCCUCAAAUUUAGAACGGAUGUGAAAGUAGGCCUACUCGGACAAAAAUAGUGCAUUUGAUGUCAUUGUUCACCUAAACUAACCAACAAAUGUGCAGAAAUGAAAACUUUGUUGAAAGAGAAAUAUAUUAAGACCAUUUUGAGCCAAAUUUUACCUGUCUAGGAGUUUGCAUUUAAAAUUGAGGAUUAAUGCGCUCCCUGGUAUACUAAUUUAAGAUUUUCAGAAAACCAGGGGUUAUUUUUAGUGGUACCUCCUUUCGGGAGCUCUCUUUUUUCUUAUAUGAUUUUGAAUGUAUGUUGAAAAUUGGCAUGCAGAAAGGUGACAUUUGUACAAUUCAGGAUAUACCUAGUUUCUAUGAAGUUAAACUUAAGGUAAAAUAUUUAGAAAGCUGUGAAAAUUGCAAAAUUUGGUUGAACAGAUAGGGACUUUAAUUGGUGGUAUGACACCUUUAAGCGAAAUGCGGUGAAACAUCAAAUUCAGAAAACAAAUGAUUUUUUUUGUCUUAACUGAUAAUUUGAAAUAAUAGUAGCAACAUUUCAAACUUUUUGGGUGCAAUAUGUCACAUAUUGCAAAUUUAGAGCCUAAAACUUGAGUUCGUGCUAUUUUUAGCUUUUCUCACCCUGACAAUAUGCUUGUUACUUCUUUUAAUUGGUGGUGUGACACCUAUAUACACUGCACAGUGACAAACAUGAUAUACUGUAAUACACAAUGAUACAGUAAUUUGCUUUUACGCAUAUGUAUGACCUAAUUUAAACGACAUUAAAAACUACAAUGUUUAAGGGUAUAUGAACUAAGGUAUGUUGUUGAAAUCUAAAGGUAAAUAGGAAUUUGUUACAAUAAUAGCAGUUUAAUUUUAACACAUGCAUGAAAGUUUACAUUGUUCUGCAAACUUUUGUAAAAACAACAAUUGACUUGUUUGCGAAUGAACUAUUGAACUACACACAUGUAACGAGUGUCAUUGAAUCUAUCGAAACAGAAAAAUAUAGAGUAAAAUAUUUGUUGUUGUUAUAUGACUAAAUAUCUUUCAAAAUAAAUAAUUCUUUUUUAAUUACCUGCACAGUGUGCAAGUCGUGUGAAUAAUAAAUGAUCCCCAAAAUGACAAUAAUAAAUAAUACCCAAAAUGACAAUAAUAAACAUAGUGGCUUUCAAAAUGAAUUCGGUUAGGAGCGAUCCUGUUGAAGGUUUAUCCAGAAAAAAACUAUGAAUACACGGAAUUAAUAAAUUAAUUUUUUUAAUUGCUAACACUACAUCGUGACCACUGUAAGUGUGCUGUUAACAUGGUUAAACUUUGAUAAAUUGCAUGCGUUCGAAGCGCUUUCCGGAUUUAUCUUCGUCGGAAACGCUAAAAGCCGAAUAUCUGAAGUCAAUGAUGUAUAAUAAUUGAAACAAUUGAAAAGUUAUUUCAUCAAAAAGGAAUAAAAAAAAAUCAUCUGAGGUCAACUUUCAAGAUGACCAGAGGGAUUUCAAGCCGUAGUUUCUAUAUAAUUUCCAAAUUUCUAAACGGGCAAUUUUAUUCGAGAUUUGUUAUUAAUAAUGUUCUUGUCUUUUCUUUUUUAUAUUUUUAUACAUUUAUAAAUUCUUAUAUGAUCCCAAUUUACAAUUGUCGUUGCAUCUGUUACGGACUUUCCCAAUUGAUCUUCCUCUAAGUUCAGUAUUUUUGUGAUUUUACUUUUUAUAGGAGGAGCAAGAUGGUUCCUUACGCCUAAAGAUCAAUGAGAAGUUCUUAAAAUAAGGCUAUUUUGGCAGUUUUGACGCUCUUAUAUAAAUGGCUAAUAAAAAAUAUAAAGAUAAAGACACGGAUGAUAGUAUAAUGUCUUGUGAAUAUUCAAAGUUAUAGUCUUUUGAUAUUUGCUUUGGGGAAGGGGGCUCUGUAUCCGAGAGGUCUUAGUAGUUUAUUAAGAGUAUCACAACCCUGUCAUCACUGCGGUUGUGAGCAACACAUUAUCAAAACAUCAUGAUAAGCAUGCAAUUGAAGAUGUAUCUUGCAUUGUAAUAAAAAAAAGUUUCAACAGCAGGGCGUGAUCCUAGUUUACUCGCUGUUCUUUUCUUUUGACAUAUUAUUGUCUAAAUCUGGAAUAUUGAGACAACAAACAUCGCAAAGUAGAGAAAUUUGUGUUUGUUAUGUCCUGAUUCUGUAGUUUAACAAUAUCGUAUAGUGUAACAGAUGAGCCGCAUAUAAAGUUUUUGGUAUAAAUGCAUUUUCGUUGCUUGUGUUUUGUGAAUAUAAGUAGUAUGAAUAAAAACAAAAUUCAUCUCUGUAGUUUUGUAUAUAAAAACCCUAAUAAUAAUCGUUCGUUUCUCAAAUUCAAAAACUUUUCAAUCGAACCGACGAACGAAUAUUGUCUAAGAACUUAAACCAAUUGAUCGAUAAAACAUGAAUUAACCAAUCUGAAGUGUCGCAAACGAUUGUUUAUACCACUGUAUUACAUGUAUUACUAGUAUGGAAAGUUGUGACUUGUCUUUUAAUUAGGAACGUUCAAAGGAGAAAUAGAUACCUAAGGGAGAAUCAUAAUUCUUGGUAUCUAUGAUGGGUUUAUCUUAAAAGGUUUUGUCAAAUACAGCCAAAUUGUUCUUCUUGUAUCUAUGAUACCGAAUUAUUAUUCCUUUUGCUUGCAGACGAUGUUGGAAAGACGUUAAGAGCCAUCAAAUCGGUAGCAUACUUAUUUUACUACCAGCUCCUGUGGCUACUAUUCGCCAAUUGGUAUUAGUGUGAUUUAAAUGAUGCUUUUUAAAGAACUAUUUUUGGUUACCAAAUUAUUAUCUAAGUGUUAAACUUACUUUUUUACUCCCUCUACCAAAAAUGACCGAACGUUUUUAUGUUUUUUGUUUUGAUAUUUGCUCUAAUGCUCCGAAAUGUUUAUGUUUUAUGUUUCCGAACAUUUGGUCCCAGAUGUACCUCAUGGAUGAAGACUUUCAUGAUAUGGUAAAAUAGUAAUUCUUAUAACUUCAACAGUACCAAUUGUCCUGCAUGAUAUGCGAAUUUCGACAAUUGAUGUCUCUUCAGUGAUCCUGAAAGCCAAAAUACCUGAAUUCCAAAACCUAAUACAAACGUUUCAGAACUGAUAAAACAAACAAAAAUCAGAUAUAAAGGAGGAUAAUCUUCACUGCACGCUCUCCUUAUAAUUCACAUAUAUCUGGACAAAAUGUCUUAUAAUUGUACAAUAUUAGACUGUUAACUAUUAUUAAGUAAUCAGAAAAAAUAAAGUUGAUAAAGUUUUCGCAGACUUUUUAAUAGUCAUUCAGAUGUUAUACAAAUAAUUGACAACAACAACAUUUGUUGUGAACAUUUGAACUUUUGUGAAAUGCAAUGGAUUAACACAGGAAAUACUUAAUACAGUAAAUAAAUUAUUCUUUAAUAUUUGCUUUGACACGGCAUGGACUUCUUUAUAAAUUAUCUAUAUCAUAUAUUGCUAAGAACAAUGUUAACAAUAUGACAUCGGGCCAAUCCUAUGUACAUUUUUUUGUAAUCAAAAUUAUAUACAUAAUUAUAUUUUUUUUUUAUAUCUUUAACUCUAGGUUUUAUUCUAAUCCAAUAUUGAGGAUAUUCAUCUAUUUACAUUGAUAUAAACUAUAAAUGUAUGAUGUUUACGAUUUACUGUUUACCAGCGUUGCCUUUUUUUAGGCAUUCAGUCAUAACAUUCACAAGCAUCUACUCAUGUACAAUACAUGUGAGAUUGCAACAUCAAACAAGAAAACAAAACUGAUAUAAAACUAACGGCACAUAAUUAUAGAGUUAACUAUAUCCCCCAAAAAAAACAGAAAAAGUUAUAAAACGUGUCUUUUUCUAAACAGAGAUGGAUGACACAAGUUAUCGUCACAUUAAAUCUUACAAAUAACCUUUUAACUUUUAAUGGAAGAUAAUUUUGAUAAUGAAUAUAUUAUUUCAUCAAUGGUAAAAAUAUAUAUACAGGAACUAUAAACUGUAUAUUCAUCAUCAUUAAUUAAACCAACUUAAGUAAAUUUUACUUAGAAUAGUUACAACAAUAGAAAUAAUGCACUACAUGUAAACAAUACAGAAUACAAUUGACAAAUUGAUUCGGUGAUUUUUGUUAUAUUCUGUGGUGAAUAACUAUAAAUGUAUCCUCCGUUAGCAUUUCAUUACUAAGUGUGUAAAAUUUACAUCAUAAAGUUUUCUUAAAUUAACAUUUGCAAUUUCAUUUUUGAUGCCCACGCCGUGGUGGAGGGGACAUUAAGUUUUAUCCUGGUCCAUCUGUUCGUCCAUCCGUACGUCGCGAAAUUGGUUUCCGUUCUAUAACUUAAGUCUGCAUCAACCAAAUGUUAUGGAACUUACACACAGUGCUUAUUACCAGAACACACAGAUCAAGUUUGAAUUUUGGUGGUGUCACUUAUACUGUUUUAGAGCUAUGCCCCUUUACAAUUGGAAAAAAUGCUGAUUCUUACGUUUCCGUUCGCCAACUUAAGUUUGCCUCCACCAAAUGUUAUGAAACUUAUUAAAAAAAUGCUUCUAACCACAAAACACAGUCCAAUUUUGAACUUUGGUGAUGUCACUUUUACCAUUCUAGAGUUAAUGAGUUACGCCCAUUUACAAAUGGAAAAAUGUUGAAUUUUUCGUUUCCGUUCUCUAACUUAAGUUUGAUUCAACCAAAUGUUAUGAAGCUUAUACACAAUGCUUAUUACCACAAAACACAAAUCAAGGAUGAAUUUUGGUGGCGUCACUUUUACCAUUCUAGAGUUAUGCCCAUUUGCAAAUGAAAAAAAAAUGCUUAGUUUUUCGUUUCCGUUCUUUAACUUUAGUUUGCCUCAACUAAAUGUUAUAAAUAUUAUACACAAUGCUUGUUACCACAAAACUCAGAUCAAGUGCACAUUUGAGUAGCGUCACUUGUACCGUUCUUGAGUUAUGUUCCUUUAUAACGUUGUCUGCAAGCAGGGUAUCAUCUGUGUCCCAUGGACACAUUCCCCAUGUAUUUGUAUCUUGAUGUUUUUUGCAUGUCAUCUUCCGUCCAUAUUUUGACUUUAUUGGUUUUUCAUUUUGUUCAAUCAUUUUAGUUUUAAGAAAUGGGAUGUUUUCUAACGAUUUUUAUUCCUUUACUCAGAACAACAAUGACUGAUGUGUCUACUGACAGUGGAGAACAAGCUUCAGAUAUUUCACCAGAAGAAGAAAAUUAUCUUCGUAUUGCCCACUUAUUAAUCAGAGUUGCACCUUCUGCUGUGCGGGUAAGAUUUGAUACAGAGUUUUCUCCUGGAGGAUUAAAGACAGUUUUGAAUAAAGCAAGAUCUUCAACAUUAGAACCCCUGAAAAAAAGAAGAGUUAUUAACCAAGCUCAAUGGGAUUUGUUAUUUCCAAAGUCAGGUAGGCAAACCAAGUUGCUUAUAUAUAACAACAGAUGAUGUUGUAAGAUUACCAAUGAGACAACUCUCCACAAGAGACCAAAUGACACAGAA